CCAUAGCUCAACUGGAUAGAGCAUCAGACUUCGGAUCUGAGGGUUGAGGGUUCGAAUCCUUCUGGGC
This 67-nucleotide transfer RNA is filed under the name marine eukaryotic metagenome. It matches the Rfam family "tRNA", at positions 5 to 66 of the family's 71-position model. From Rfam's summary of the family: Transfer RNA (tRNA) molecules are approximately 80 nucleotides in length. Their secondary structure includes four short double-helical elements and three loops (D, anti-codon, and T loops). The record is from RNAcentral.